GUUUAUUGGUAGCGGUCCGGUAAAAAAUACAUUUAGGUUGUGGGUCUUUUCCUAUAAUAAAGAAGAUAGAUGUCCCGUCAGAAAAAUGUUUAUGUAGCAGUCACAAACUCUAUAGGUACAACAAUUGUUUAAAAAAAGGACUAUAUAUAUACAGUAUACAUGCUAAAAGGAUGCGGUGUCCUAUUUUGGAAAAAGAAGACCGAAAGGGCAGGUCGGAUUAAACACUAGAUUUUAACUGAUGAGAUAACCUAGAUACAAUGCCAAAAGGAUACAGUGUCCUAUUUUAGAAAAAGAAGACCAAGGGGGCAGGUCGGAUUAAACAAUACUGUGAAUAGCUGAGAUUACGUAGAUACAUGCAGCGUUCUAUUUUGGAAAGAGAAGACCGAGGAGACAUGUACAUGCACGUUUAUUGGUAGCGGUCCGGUAAAAAAUACAUUUAGGUUGUGGGUCUUUUCCUAUAAUAAAGAAGAUAGAUGUCCCGUCAGAAAAAUGUUUAUGUAGCAGUCACAAACUCUAUAGGUACAACAAUUGUUUAAAAAAAGGACUAUAUAUAUACAGUGUAUAUCUGCGUCAAAGGAAAAGGUACAAAUAUAUCUAAGGCACACGUAGAUGCAUCUCAAAAAAGGGCACACAUACAUGUACCAAAAUGAGAUCGCAUAAUAAAGAAAGAAGAAAAAUAAGGGACUCCAUUGUAACACCGGCGUGACUAUGACGACCUCUUCAUUAUCAUCACCAUCGAGCGGCCGGAAGCCGAGAACUCCAGUGGUUCUUCUGCAGUGCCACCG
This 785-nucleotide long non-coding RNA is filed under the name Triticum aestivum (bread wheat). RNAcentral describes it as "long non-coding RNA (TAES_LNC025350)". The record is from RNAcentral. Lineage: Eukaryota; Viridiplantae; Streptophyta; Magnoliopsida; Poales; Poaceae.